AGAACGAACGCUGGCGGCGUGGAUAAGACAUGCAAGUCGAACGCGACUUAUUUUGUUAGCAAUAACGAGAUAAGUUGAGUGGCGAAAGGGUGCGUAACACGUGGGAAUUUACCAAGAAGUGGGGAAUAGCUCGACGAAAGUCGAAUUAAUACCGCAUGUGAUCGAAAGAUCAAAGUCGGGGACCGCAAGGCCUGACGCUUUUUGAGAAGCCCGCGGCCCAUCAGCUAGUUGGCGAGGUAAAAGCUCACCAAGGCUAUGACGGGUAGCUGGUCUGAGAGGACGACCAGCCACACUGGAACUGAGACACGGUCCAGACACCUACGGGUGGCAGCAGUCGAGAAUUUUUUCACAAUGGACGAAAGUCUGAUGGAGCGACGCCGCGUGGAGGAUGAAGGUUUUCGGAUUGUAAACUCCUGUCACUGCAGAACAAGGAUACGUCAGUUAACAGCCGACGUA
This 456-nucleotide ribosomal RNA is filed under the name uncultured bacterium. RNAcentral describes it as "SSU rRNA". It matches the Rfam family "Bacterial small subunit ribosomal RNA", at positions 26 to 467 of the family's 1533-position model. The record is from RNAcentral.